AGAGAGGCUAUAUACAGUAGAGAGGCUAUAUACAGUAGAGAGGAUAUAUACAGUAGAGAGGCUAUAACAGUAGAGAGGCUAUAUACAGUAGAGAGGCUAUAUACAGUAGAGAGGAUAUAUACAGUAGAGAGGCUAUAUACAGUAGAGAGGUUAUAUACAGUAGAGAGGCUAUACACAGUAGAGAGGCUAUAUACAGUAGAGAGGCUAUAUACAGUAGAGAGGCUAUAUACAGUAGAGAGGCUAUAUACAGUAGAGAGGUUAUAUACAGUAGAGAGGCUAUAUACAGUAGAGAGGCUAUAUACAGUAGAGAGGUUAUAUACAGUAGAGAGGUUAUAUACAGUAGAGGUUAUAUACAGUAGAGAGGCUAUACACAGUAGAGAGGCUAUAUACAGUAGAGAGGCUAUAUACAGUAGAGAGGUUAUAUACAGUAGAGAGGCUAUAUACAGUAGAGAGGUUAUAUACAGUAGAGAGGCUAUAUACAGUAGAGAGGCUAUAUACAGUAGAGAGGUUAUAUACAGUAGAGAGGUUAUAUACAGUAGAGGUUAUAUACAGUAGAGAGGCUAUAUACAGUAGAGAGGUUAUAUACAGUAGAGAGGCUAUAUACAGUAGAGAGGUUAUAUACAGUAGAGAGGCUAUAUACAGUAGAGAG
RNAcentral lists this long non-coding RNA (649 nucleotides) under Salmo salar (Atlantic salmon). RNAcentral describes it as "lncRNA (ENSSSAG00000085801.1)". The record is from RNAcentral. Lineage: Eukaryota; Metazoa; Chordata; Actinopteri; Salmoniformes; Salmonidae.